GUGGGGAAUAUUCCGCAAUGGACGAAAGUCUGACGGAGCAACGCCGCGUGAGUGAUGAAGGUUUUCGGACUGUAAAGCUCUGUUGUUUAGGACGAAAGUGCCUGUUGCAAAUAGUUACAGGUAUUGACGGUACUGAACGAGGAAGCCACGGCUAACUACGUGCCAGCAGCCGCGGUAAUACGUAGGUGGCAAGCGUUGUCCGGAAUUAUUGGGCGUAAAGAGCAUGUAGGCGGGAAUCUAAGUCUGUUGUGAAAAUGCGGGGCUCAACCCCGUAUUGCGAUGGAAACUAGGUUUCUUGAGUGCAGGAGAGGAAAGGGGAAUUCCCAGUGUAGCGGUGAAAUGCGUAGAUAUUGGGAGGAACACCAGUGGCGAAGGCGCCUUUCUGGACUGUGUCUGACGCUGAGAUGCGAAAGCCAGGGUAGCGAACGGGAUUAGAAACCCCAGUAGUCC
Molecule: ribosomal RNA, 450 nt
Filed under: uncultured bacterium
Lineage: Bacteria
Description: partial 16S ribosomal RNA
Rfam family: Bacterial small subunit ribosomal RNA
Source: RNAcentral